RNAcentral lists this ribosomal RNA (455 nucleotides) under Agathiella sp. RNAcentral's name for it is "partial 28S ribosomal RNA". The record is from RNAcentral. Lineage: Eukaryota; Metazoa; Arthropoda; Insecta; Hymenoptera; Braconidae.
CCUGAGAAACCUAAAAGUUCGAAAAGAGAGAUUCAACGUCAGUAUGUAUUGUAUUCACGUGAGUAGUGAUGUAAGUUUUUAGUAAAGGGGUCAAACCUUUUAUUAAUACUUGCACAUUUUCAUGUUAUUUUAUUGCAAUACUAUUGCCGGCGUGCACUUCUCUCUUAGUAGGACGUCCCGACCCGUUGAGUCUUGGCCUACGGCACAGAUGGGAGCCUUUGAUAUUUCGGUAUUAAAGACCUCUGAUGUACUCCUGGCUAAAGUACUCGACGGUAGUUAAUUGAUAUGGUGUUGAGCCGCAUUUUCGAAUGCGUCCGGCCUGUCGCAAGUUUUUGAUAUAUUCCGUAUUACUAUAGACUAAGUGCUAUGUAUAUGGUUAUGUCGCUUUGCAUGACUGUGCUUUAGGACUGGCUUAUUUCAUCUGUCAGGACGCUUAGGCUUUGGGUACUCUCAGG